GACCAUCCUCCAAGGCUAAAUACUCCUGACUGACCGAUAGUGAACCAGUACCGUGAGGGAAAGGCGAAAAGAACCCCGGCGAGGGGAGUGAAAAAGAACCUGAAACCGUGUACGUACAAGCAGUGGGAGCACCCUUUUGGGUGUGACUGCGUACCUUUUGUAUAAUGGGUCAGCGACUUAUAUUCUGUAGCAAGGUUAACCGAAUAGGGGAGCCGGAGGGAAACCGAGUCUUAACCGGGCGUUAAGUUGCAGGGUAUAGACCCGAAACCCGGUGAUCUAGCCAUGGGCAGGUUGAAGGUUGGGUAACACUAACUGGAGGACCGAACCGACUAAUGUUGAAAAAUUAGCGGAUGACCUGUGGCUGGGGGUGAAAGGCCAAUCAAACCGGGAGAUAGCUGGUUCUCCCCGAAAGCUAUUUAGGUAGCGCCUCGUGAAUUCAUCUCCGGGGGUAGAGCACUGUUUCGGCUAGGGGGCCAUCCCGGCUUACCAACCCGAUGCAAACUGCGAAUACCGGAGAAUGUUAUCACGGGAGACACACGGCGGGUGCUAACGUCCGUCGUGAAGAGGGAAACAACCCAGACCGCCAGCUAAGGUCCCAAAGUCAUGGUUAAGUGGGAAACGAUGUGGGAAGGCCCAGACAGCCAGGAUGUUGGCUUAGAAGCAGCCAUCAUUUAAAGAAAGCGUAAUAGCUCACUGGUCGAGUCGGCCUGCGCGGAAGAUGUAACGGGGCUAAACCAUGCACCGAAGCUGCGGCAGCGAACGUAUCACUUAAAGCGAUUCAGCGGGUUACGAUUGACGGAGCGAAGCGACGUCAAAGCGUAUACAAAGUCGAGUCGGUUUAAGGAUACGUU
RNAcentral lists this ribosomal RNA (851 nucleotides) under Salmonella enterica subsp. enterica serovar Newport. RNAcentral describes it as "partial 23S ribosomal RNA". It matches the Rfam family "Bacterial large subunit ribosomal RNA", at positions 451 to 1298 of the family's 2925-position model. The record is from RNAcentral. Lineage: Bacteria; Pseudomonadati; Pseudomonadota; Gammaproteobacteria; Enterobacterales; Enterobacteriaceae.